AUUGAGGAAACCUGUUAAAGGUGCCAGUAAUGCUGUGGAAGGAUCUGAGAGAAGAAGGAGAAAAGUGGGAAUAGCCAUAAAGGAGGUUACUCACAGAUAGCUGUGAAGAAAUGAGACAGAAAAGACACUGAAAGGCCGCUCUCAGGUCUCCCUGGAACCUUCUCCAGGCUGAACAGCCCCAGCUCUCUCAGCCUGUAGGAGAGAUGUUCCAUUCAGUCGAUCAUUUCUGUGGUCCUCCGCUGGAUGCGCUCCAACAGAU
RNAcentral lists this long non-coding RNA (259 nucleotides) under Gallus gallus (chicken). RNAcentral's name for it is "lncRNA (ENSGALG00010012029.1)". Lineage: Eukaryota; Metazoa; Chordata; Aves; Galliformes; Phasianidae. The record is from RNAcentral.